AUAAUUGUGGCCGAGUGGUUAAGGCAAUGGACUCGAAAUCCAUUGGUGUUUCCCACACAGGUUCGAAUCCUGUUGAUUAAU
Molecule: non-coding RNA, 81 nt
Organism: Protopterus annectens (West African lungfish)
Lineage: Eukaryota; Metazoa; Chordata; Ceratodontiformes; Protopteridae
Source: the annotation of a RefSeq genome assembly